CAGCACAGAUGUUGCCAACAGCUUCAGGUUCCAGAAAGGCCCUGAGAGCCAGAAGACACCGAUGACAAUGGAAUCCACCCAACCAGAUGUGAGAUUGAAACCCAGAAGUACAUCCCCAAACUUAGUGAGAGGACCAGGAGUUGAACCCAGGGCUGAAGGAUUCAAACUCUUUACUCAUUUCUACCAUGCUGCCUCAGUAUUACGAAAAUGUCAAAACACUAAGGUGAUGUCCAGCAUCAAAACACAGUUGGUCAUAACUGAUAAAAGGUUAUGUCUUGAUUGAACAAGCUUCCAGGAGUUGGAAGGCCAAAAGGGCUGCUGUAAAACAGCAAUGGAGAUGCUAAUAAAACCCAAGGUAA
Molecule: long non-coding RNA, 359 nt
Filed under: Homo sapiens (human)
Lineage: Eukaryota; Metazoa; Chordata; Mammalia; Primates; Hominidae
Description: HSALNT0305935
Source: RNAcentral